RNAcentral lists this transfer RNA (70 nucleotides) under Mantidactylus betsileanus. RNAcentral's name for it is "partial tRNA-Val". It matches the Rfam family "tRNA". Rfam says of the family: Transfer RNA (tRNA) molecules are approximately 80 nucleotides in length. Their secondary structure includes four short double-helical elements and three loops (D, anti-codon, and T loops). The record is from RNAcentral. Lineage: Eukaryota; Metazoa; Chordata; Amphibia; Anura; Mantellidae.
UCAAAAUGUAGCUUAAUAAAAGCCUUUCGCUUACACCGAAAAAAUGUCUGUUGAACUCAGAUCACUUUGA